GUCUAUGGCGGACCGUGCGAGGCGGGUUUCGACCCGACCGGUCUUCGUUUGUGUACCGGGAUUCCACCCUUGCACGGUCCGCCUCCCUU
Molecule: non-coding RNA, 89 nt
Filed under: Pseudomonas panipatensis
Lineage: Bacteria; Pseudomonadati; Pseudomonadota; Gammaproteobacteria; Pseudomonadales; Pseudomonadaceae
Source: RNAcentral